AGUGAACGCUGGCGGUAGGCCUAACACAUGCAAGUCGAACGGCAGCACAGGAGAGCUUGCUCUCUGGGUGGCGAGUGGCGGACGGGGGCGGAAUACAUCGGAAUCUACUCUGUCGUGGGGGAUAACGGAGGGAAACUUACGCUAAUACCGCAUACGACCUACGGGUGAAAGCAGGGGAUCUUCGGGCCUUGCGCGAUUGAAUGAGCCGAUGUCGGAUUAGCUAGUUGGCGGGGUAAAGGCCCACCAAGGCGACGAUCCGUAGCUGGUCUGAGAGGAUGAUCAGCCACACUGGAACUGAGACACGGUCCAGACUCCUACGGGAGGCAGCAGUGGGGAAUAUUGGACAAUGGGCGCAAGCCUGAUCCAGCCAUACCGCGUGGGUGAAGAAGGCCUUCGGGUUGUAAAGCCCUUUUGUUGGGAAAGAAAUCCAGCUGGCUAAUACCCGGUUGGGAUGACGGUACCCAAAGAAUAAGCACCGGCUAACUUCGUGCCAGCCGCCGCCGUAA
RNAcentral lists this ribosomal RNA (506 nucleotides) under uncultured bacterium. RNAcentral describes it as "partial 16S ribosomal RNA". It matches the Rfam family "Bacterial small subunit ribosomal RNA", at positions 29 to 523 of the family's 1533-position model. The record is from RNAcentral.